This 787-nucleotide long non-coding RNA is filed under the name Malus domestica (apple). RNAcentral describes it as "long non-coding RNA (MDOM_LNC000229)". Lineage: Eukaryota; Viridiplantae; Streptophyta; Magnoliopsida; Rosales; Rosaceae. The record is from RNAcentral.
UUUUGGACCUAAACGUAAAAACGUAAACUUUUGGGCCAAAGUGCAAAUACACAAAAAUAUCAAAACUUUAUGUAAUUGCAUAAAAGGCCCCAAAAGUACCCCCACUAGGGGGUGGCUGGUUUUGGAAGAAGAAAUGGAGUGAUGUGUGUAUUGAUUUGUGAGUUUUGACAUAAAGCAAUCAAGUGGUGCAAGUGGUGUGUGUGAAAGGAAAUUAAUCCUUACACACCCACCAAUAUCUCUUACACCAUUUAAACAAAUAUCUAAAACAUUUAAACAUUUGAAAAUCAUAAAACAUAAACUUUAUGAAAUAAAUCAAAACUUUGAAUCAAAACACAAAACUUUUUGUUCUUGGCUAAAAUGUCAAGAACAAUGAAGAACAUUCAUGAAAAACUCAAAAAAUUUCCAUGAACAUUUUUCACCCAAAAACAUUCCAAAACCAUUCAAACUUUAGGGAAAUAACAUAUAACCAAACUAGGGUACAUAGGGGUUCCAAAAGUCACUUUAAAACACUUUUAACAAGUCAAACAAGAACCCAAAAAAUCACCCUAUGUAUUUGGCCGAAUUUUCCCAAAAUCAUGGCACCAAAUUUUAGCUCCAAUAUUCAUGCUCAUAUGAACUACAUCUACAACAUUUGAGAUGACAAAUUUUCUAACAAAAUUUACAUUCAAAGAAACAAGAAUAAAGCUUGUAACAUAUUACAACUUUUAAAUCAAAACUAUGAACUACAAAACCCAAAAGGAUUCACCAACUACUAGACCUAGGCUCUGAUACCACUUGAAGGAUGAUU